AGCACGAGAAUAAGCAAGCUAAUGAUUUAAAUACCAUUUCAAUUUCCCUUGUUCAGAAGUUCAGCCCACAAUUCAAUAUUUCAAUUCAAGAACCACCCAGUUUUGGUGGAACAUAUGUACAUGAAGAAAUAGAUCACUGAAAAACAUGCAACAGAAACCACACUGAUUACAUCCACAAUGAAUUGAUAUCAUUAGUGAUUUAUGUCAUUGAUGCUGAUACUCAGGGUUAAAUGCAAGAGCCUCCCUAUAAAUCAGCUCCUUCAUCAGUUCUUCAGUCAUCGCAUGCCGCUCAAAAUCAAAGCUGAAGGGAGUCAUGCAGACUGGCUCAUCACUGAUAUCAUGAAGUGAGUUUAGGUAGGGAUGAGCUAGCGCAUCUUCAACUGUAAUCCUCAGUCUGGGAUCAAAUGUUAACAUCUUUUCGACAAGAUCAAUAGCUGCCGGGUGGACAUUUGGAAACUUCUCAGUGAAAGAUUGACGAUGAUAAGGAGGAAGUUGUCGAAUGUAUUUCUUUGCAUUUUCAUUCAAAAACCCCAACUCAGCCUCUGAUGGAGUCCCAAUUAGCUCCAUGAGCAAACGCAGUUGAUGCACAUGAUCUCUACCAGGAAAUAGGGGCUUCCGAUCCAUCAACUCCAUGAAAAUACAACCCACUGACCAUACAUCAAUAGCUGCAGUGUAAUCUGAAGAGUUCAACAAUAGUUCCGGUGCACGGUACCAUCUUGUAACAACAUAUUCUGUCAUGAAAUCAGUUUCUGAAGUAACACGAGCCAGACCAAAAUCACAUAUCUUCAAGUCACAAUUUGCAUUCAAGAGGAGAUUGCUUGGUUUUAAAUCUCUGUGCAGAACAUUUGCAGAAUGUAUAUAUUUCAAUCCUCGGAGAAUUUGAUACAGGAAAUACUGGCAGUGCUCUUCUGAUAGUGCUUGAUUGGAACGAAUGAUUUGAUGGAGAUCAGUGUCCAUUAGCUCAUAAGCAAUGUAAACAUCAUUAAAUGAUUCCCUCUGGGGUGGAGGAAUUAUAUCCCUGAUUGCAACAACGUUUUCAUGAUCCAUAUGACGAAGCAACUUGAUCUCACGGAGAGUCCUUUUGGCAUCGAUUUUAUUAUCAAAAGCAUUCGCUAUCUUCUUUAUCGCCACAUGCUCACCGGUCUCCGAGUUCAGUGCCGAGCAAACGAUGCCGUAUGCGCCCUUGCCGAUGGGCAUGAUAGGAGGCUUGUACUUAGCAGUGACCUCGAAUAUAUUACCGAAUAUGUUGUACUGCAUGAAUCUCCCACCGUGGCUGAGAGUGGCCGGAAUAUUUUCGAUUCCACCGGUAAGGGAGACCUGCUGCUGCUGUUGUUGGGGGUUAGAAGGUGGUGGUGGCGGUGGAGCGGUAGCUGCAGCGGCGGCCGCAUCCUCCAUCUCAGUGUCCGCCGGCUGGCCCGGUCCGCCCCCGUCCAUUUCUGAAAUUUGUUGCAAGAGUGUCGUAAGAGAGCGGCGGUUGAGGUUGGUUUUGGGGUCAACAGAUCUGAAGGUGUGGGCGUGGUGUGUGUGUGCACGCAGUGCCCUUUUUGGUUGUCGUAGUUUUGUUUUUGGUUUGGUUUUUGCUUUUUGUGCUCUCGAAUUCUAUGAAAAGGUUAAAGUUGAAAGUCA
This 1626-nucleotide unclassified non-coding RNA is filed under the name Hevea brasiliensis (rubber tree). Lineage: Eukaryota; Viridiplantae; Streptophyta; Magnoliopsida; Malpighiales; Euphorbiaceae. The record is from RNAcentral.